RNAcentral lists this long non-coding RNA (1031 nucleotides) under Microcebus murinus (gray mouse lemur). RNAcentral's name for it is "lncRNA (ENSMICG00000048660.1)". The record is from RNAcentral. Lineage: Eukaryota; Metazoa; Chordata; Mammalia; Primates; Cheirogaleidae.
UUCCUCUCAGCGGGGGCUGACACUCUUGGUCCUUGGCGGUCUGGCUCCUGAGCCUUUUCUUUUUAUUCCUAGGGGAGGCCCGACACCAGCCUUACACUGACGGCAUCUCUAUUUUUUCUCUUUGCGUCCCCCUUAAAAUCAGCGAGCGGCUGCGUGGCCCUGGCGAGCCCCCUUCUCUUUCUUUGGGGUGCCAUGCCGUGUCCCUGCGCCCUUCCCUUCUCUAUUCUUUCUCUCGUGUCCUCUAGAGCCUUAAAAUAAAACGUUGUUUACUUUUAUAUCUUAACCUCUGAGCGAGAGAUCUUUCUCCACCUGUGCCGUGAGCACCUGCCAGCCUUUCCACCUGCCUCAUUUGGUGUCCCCCCCCCCCCGGGGACUUUUCCCUGCCCGCCCCCUCGGAGAAGUCAAUUUUCUCCCCCAUGAGGGAACUGGCUCAUUCUCUCAUUUCUCCUCCUGCAGAUGGGGAGCCGCUUCCGUCCCGAACGCUCCUCUGUGCAUCGGGGACAUCCUUCAAAUCGUUCAGGACUCCGAGAGUCACUCGGUCCCUGGAAACUCUGGGAACGGCCACAGGCACAAGGCGGAGAGUGGCAGCUUUCUUGUUUGGUCGAGGGAAACCCGGCGCUGGAUCCCGACACCAGGGAGGGACCGUGCAUCUUGGCGAGGCGCUUCAUCUCCCAGUCGGCCCCGAUGCUCAGCGUAAGCUCCAAAAACUCGGGAAGGGACCUCGGCCUGCCUCCACGUGCGGAACUUCAGACCUGGCCUUCUCGGUGGUUCCUAACCGGGACGGGCAGAGGCGAGGGGAGCAGAGGGUGGGGUUGACAGCAGCCCCGAAAGCAGCACAGGCUCUCAGAUGGCGGCUCUGCCGUGGAAGGGGCUCCCCAGAGACGGGGAGUAGCAUUACGGGCUCGUGCAAGAGGACAUCAGGACUGCGACCCUCUCCGGGAACUGCACCCUGCUUUAGCUGUCCCCCACUGGGUCCCUGGAGUGGACAAUGGCCCAGGAAGUGGGCUCCGCCAGGACCCUGCCCCCUCUGA